GCGGUUUCACUCCAGUAGCUGUGUCAGCAUUUGCCGUACCCGUCGGUGCUGCCGCCGUCCUCGACGAUCAACUCCAACGGUGGCGGUCCAGGUCCAAAUCCUGCACAGUACAUGCCACACGGCGCCCUCAAUGGGGCGCUCCUCGUUUAGUGCCUGCGAGCAACUUACAUACAUACGUAGGAAGGGCGGGGAAAAGGGGGGGGAAAGGCAAAACACACCUUAACCACACGCCUGUGCUUACACCCGCAGGAGGCAAACAGUUGCUUUUAUCGAAACAAUUGCUGAUCGGAAUAUUUACUGUAAACUCGGUGCAGAAGCUACCGACACGUGGCCGGGGUUUUACACCGCCUUGUACUGCUGUACUGCUGUCGUACCUACCGGUAUGAUGACGCUCACGGUUGCAUUGCUGGUGUCCACACGCGAACAACAACGGGAAUCUAGUACGGCACCCCGGGCAGUAGCAGCACACCAGCGACUGCGGCCUACAUCAUUCGCAUCAUGACACAGCGCCAUCUUGAAAGUUUGUGCGUUUUGUGUCUAUUUAGCGCCGCCAUGCGGGCGUAUUAAUUGAUUUGCGCCACGGUGUGUGUACCUAAAUGUUCGACAUCCGUGUGAAGUGCGCGAUAUGCGUCGAGAGACGUAGGGAUGCCGUGUGCACAGAGUCGUACAAUGUACGAAAGCUUUACGAUGCAGCGAACGUGAUUUGCAAAAGAAUAAAUGGGUUUUGGGAAGCAGGU
This 737-nucleotide long non-coding RNA is filed under the name Volvox carteri. RNAcentral describes it as "long non-coding RNA (VCAR_LNC001843)". Lineage: Eukaryota; Viridiplantae; Chlorophyta; Chlorophyceae; Chlamydomonadales; Volvocaceae. The record is from RNAcentral.